UAAGGUAUAACUCAGUGGUAGAGUGCUUGUCUAGCAUGCACAAAGCCCUGGUUUCAAUUUCCAGUACCAAAA
RNAcentral lists this transfer RNA (72 nucleotides) under Heterocephalus glaber (naked mole-rat). It matches the Rfam family "tRNA". From Rfam's summary of the family: Transfer RNA (tRNA) molecules are approximately 80 nucleotides in length. Their secondary structure includes four short double-helical elements and three loops (D, anti-codon, and T loops). Further hydrogen bonds mediate the characteristic L-shaped molecular structure. tRNAs have two regions of fundamental functional importance: the anti-codon, which is responsible for specific mRNA codon recognition, and the 3' end, to which the tRNAs corresponding amino acid is attached (by aminoacyl-tRNA synthetases). tRNAs cope with the degeneracy of the genetic code in two manners: having more than one tRNA (with a specific anti-codon) for a particular amino acid; and 'wobble' base-pairing, i.e. permitting non-standard base-pairing at the 3rd anti-codon position. The record is from Rfam by way of RNAcentral. Lineage: Eukaryota; Metazoa; Chordata; Mammalia; Rodentia; Bathyergidae.